UAGCGAAUGUCUUCAAGUCUAAGUGCGGGAUGCGCUUGGAAGGUGCGAGCCGCCUACCCGGGCUGCCGGCCGCUCUUUGCUGCAGAGUCGCCAGGGCUUUGAAUCAAGCGACCUGAAUCUGGGGCAACAGAAAGAAUCAAAAUCAAAGGACUGCAUGACUGUGCUAUGAAGAACAUUGGAACUCCUGGGUAGAACUAGAUAAGGAGGUAGUAAGAUGGCUCAACAAAGGCACCUAUCACCAAGACUGAUUAACCUGAGUUCAGUCAUCAGCACCCAAAUGGUGGAAGAAAAGAAUCGGCUCCUGUAAGAUGUCCUCUGAUCCUGACCUCCACAUUUUUGCCAAAUUAUAUGUUCAUAUUUGCUUGCUAUCUCUCAAUCAAUAAAUAAAUGGCAUAUUUUUCAAUUAAAAAAAUAA
Mus pahari (shrew mouse) is the source of this 415-nucleotide long non-coding RNA. RefSeq lists it as uncharacterized. NCBI's taxonomy places the organism in Eukaryota, Metazoa, Chordata, Mammalia, Rodentia, Muridae. The transcript is spliced from 3 exons. The record is from RefSeq and is a predicted model, not a curated record.